This 379-nucleotide long non-coding RNA is filed under the name Trifolium pratense (red clover). RNAcentral describes it as "long non-coding RNA (TPRA_LNC004407)". Lineage: Eukaryota; Viridiplantae; Streptophyta; Magnoliopsida; Fabales; Fabaceae. The record is from RNAcentral.
UUAUUCGCAUCUCUUCGAAGCCGUAUUGGUAGAUUCUACGAAGCAAAUCGUCUUUUAUCCCCAUCUCUUCGAAGCUUCCAAUGGCGAUUCGCCGGGACUACGGAUGUUGUUGCCAUCGCCGCCGCCGAUUUGGGCUCGAAGAUAGAAGUGAAAGGUUGGGUUUCGAUUUUAGAGAGAGAGAAGGUUCUUCAUUGUGUGUGAAAUGAAAAAAGAGUAAAUAAUUUAUGUUUUUUUUUAAUAUUAAAUAAUUUUUUUAAAUCAGGCUAACUGAUUUAAUUUGUUAUUCACUUAAGAACCUGCCUUCCGUGUCCUGUUUUUGAGGUAAUUAAAUCAGGUGGAUGACAUCUGAUUUAGAAUGUAUGAUUUAGUAAGUGUUUUU